CACCACUCAAGCCUGGCUUGGUAUUGGGCCCCCGGGGGGUGACCCGGACCCGAAUGUCGUCGGCUGGAAAGUCCCGAUCUCAGCGUUGUGACACAAGUUCGCUGGCGAGAGGGACGGUUCCGGGCCGUGAAACACUUUCAUCAAAGG
RNAcentral lists this unclassified non-coding RNA (147 nucleotides) under uncultured Arthoniomycetes. RNAcentral describes it as "sequence contains ITS2". The record is from RNAcentral. Lineage: Eukaryota; Fungi; Ascomycota; Arthoniomycetes.